GCCUUCGUGGCAUAGUGGGCAGCACGCUCGGCGCGUAUUCGAGAGGUCCGUGGUUCGAGUCCCGGCGAGGGCA
RNAcentral lists this transfer RNA (73 nucleotides) under Stegodyphus mimosarum. It matches the Rfam family "tRNA". Rfam says of the family: Transfer RNA (tRNA) molecules are approximately 80 nucleotides in length. Their secondary structure includes four short double-helical elements and three loops (D, anti-codon, and T loops). Further hydrogen bonds mediate the characteristic L-shaped molecular structure. tRNAs have two regions of fundamental functional importance: the anti-codon, which is responsible for specific mRNA codon recognition, and the 3' end, to which the tRNAs corresponding amino acid is attached (by aminoacyl-tRNA synthetases). tRNAs cope with the degeneracy of the genetic code in two manners: having more than one tRNA (with a specific anti-codon) for a particular amino acid; and 'wobble' base-pairing, i.e. permitting non-standard base-pairing at the 3rd anti-codon position. The record is from Rfam by way of RNAcentral. Lineage: Eukaryota; Metazoa; Arthropoda; Arachnida; Araneae; Eresidae.